This is a non-coding RNA of Lactuca sativa (garden lettuce), 3521 nucleotides long. Lineage: Eukaryota; Viridiplantae; Streptophyta; Magnoliopsida; Asterales; Asteraceae. The record is from RefSeq and is a predicted model, not a curated record.
CGAGUUUAAAUCUUAAUGGCCUUGAUCCUAAACCCUAAUUACUAGCAUUCCCAUGUGGUUUGAUCGACAUAAGACGAUUCAUCUGGAAAAACAAAAACAUAAAGCAUAGAUGAAGAUAAAAAGCAGAAGAAGGAGGCCGAUAGAGAUCAAGAACUGGAUGCAUCAACGGUGACGACUGGAUUUGCAGGUGGAGGCGACAACGAUGGGGGCUAGAUCUUGAGAUAGUGGCGGCUACGACAACUUUUGCGAUUAGAACUAGAUACAAUGGUGGUGGGGAAGAACUGAUGUCCGACGAAGUAACAGAGGCUACGACAACUGUUUAUAUGAGGGAUGUUUUCUUUAGGAAGAGAAAGAGGAGAAGAUAUUGGAGAAAGGGAAAAAAAAACUAGAUAGAGAAGGCACCUCUAACGACUAUUAGUGAAGGUUGUCGGAGGUGGAGGGCGGUGGUUGUGGGUUGUGGAAAAACCCUCUCAAACUCCACAACCCUCCUUUCCUAUAUCUAAAGAAGAGCAUGCGACAUUUCUUGAUAGUUACAUUGUGCCUCAAGAACAUAAUCGAUUUAUGUUGAUGGUUUAUUCCAGGUCCAGAUUUUUUCUAUGACUAGCUUUGAUGCGAUCACAUUAGAGGAAUCCUUCUUUGGGUUCUAAUUCAUCCGGUCAAUUGGCGAGAAAGAAUAAAACAAAGGAUAUAAAUGUAUGUGUCCCUUUUUCCCUCUCUAUAGUUGAUUAUAUUUUAUUGCAUUGACCGGUUGAACAUGGAUCCGAAUUUUAGAUUAUGAGUUAUUGCUUUUUGUAUUUUAUGCUUCUGUUGUGUGUGCCUUUGUGGCCAAAGGUCCUCAUAACCCAAGAUUAUGUUCAAUCGGUAUUAUGCCCCAUUUGUGAGCGAUUUAAAGAGUCUGCAAAGCUUUUUUUUAGUUGUGCGGUUACGGAUCAAGUUUGGAGAUCGAUUGUGAAGUGGUUAGAUUUACAUUUCCCUUUGUUUAAAAGUUGGUCAUGUGUGAUUGAUUUUGUUGACGCCUUUGAUGGGUUGGGUCGAAAGAAAAAAGCUUUAGAGGUUAUUAUAUUUUUCAUGGUUUGGAUAAUUUUGUGGCAACAUGGUUUUUACUUUUUAAUUAGAAUGCCUUUCGAAAGAGUAUGAUUAUCGAUCGAAUCGUUCUUAAUUCUUUUCAUUGGUUGUUAAAUAGGAUUAAUAGAUUUAGUCUUGAUUAGAACUUUUUGCUUAAAAAUACCAUAAUGAGCAUCCCUUUGAAAUUGUUAUUUUGUUGCUCAAGUUUCUUGCUAAAAUGUUGUUUAUAUUUGAGAAAACUGCAAAAAAAAAAAAAAAAAAGUCCUUACAUCCUUAUCCAGUCAUUCUGCUCAAAUGUUGUAGAACUCGGUGUAUUCUUCAAUGCUCAUUGCAAUCAAUCCUAUAAUAUCAGCAAAUCAUAUAAUCUUUAACGGAUCAUCAAGCAUAAUCCCAUUAAAUCAGGAAGAGAUCACUCCAUAUUUGUUGAUCUAAACCCUAAUCCUCACAAACUUACUCUGGAUUUAGGCUUUACAAUAUUGAAUCGACCACCACCAAGCUCCACCGCCUCCACCUUUUCAUCUGGUUUAUUUCUCUUUCUCCUUUUUUUUCUUUUUCUUUGCAUCCUUAUUCUUCGAAAACAAAUGAGUGUACAUGUAAGCUUCAAUUUUGGUUUUUUGUUUUCUUUUUUCUCUCUCUCUCUCUCUCUCUCUCUCUCUCUCUCUCUCUCUCCUUCAUCGCCUCUCUCUUUCAGGUAUGUUUUGAUGUGAAGGGUUAUCUUGGACUGUUGUGAGUUGAUUCCACGCCUUUUUUGGUUCCACAAUCGACAAGUUCCGCUACUUCUUCUAUUGCUGCAUGUCACGCUUUUCAGGUUAGGGCUUGCCUCCCCCAUGUCGUUGUUUGAAGCAACCAGAACUCCCAAAAGAAACGAUCGGAGAAUGCCUUCAUGUUCAUCUAUAACAUGGCUUUUGAGUUACUUCAUUGUCAUCCCUUCCCCUGUAUAUUUCUAUACUCCAAAUCUCCACUGGUAAUCCAAAUACUCUUGAGACUUUAACAUCGCUUCCUUGUGAAGUUUUGGAUGCUUAUAUCUGCAAGUUUGGAAUCAGACCAAUGGGAUGGGACAACGUUAUGGCUACUACAUCAUUUGUGAUUAGGUAAUGUAUAUUUUUAGUUACUUCACUACUUCCACCAAUGUAAUAUAAGCCUAUUCUAUUAGCUAUCAUUUUGAUAUGUGAUUUUCAUUAUGGUGAACUACCCCCUGAUUUUAUUCUAAACCAACGUUGAUAUUUUCAUGUUAAUCUGUGCCUGCAUUGAUAUAUUUUAGAACGUUGAAGCUUUUGGAUUUGAUGUAGAGAUAGAAUAAAAUAAAUGAUAACAUGAAUGAGGAAAAAAAAGAAGGAUGUAUUGUGAAAUGUGACAAGUUUAAUUAUGCUCACUAAAUGCUCGAUGAAAUGCUUAAACCAUAUCUUAUUUCUAAUUCCCCUUACCACAAUCGGAUACCAAUCAGAUAUGCUAAUUCAAUCUUUUAAUUAGUAUACUUUUUGAAUGGUUGAAAGGUGUCGCAUUCAAAUUGUAGUAGAUAGGAUCUCGAAGACAAUUGAUAAUGAUAUUACAAUGAGUUCAAUCAAGUAUUCUUUUUCAUUGUUUUAUUAAAGUGGUGGUUAAUAUUUGCAUAAUGUCAAGUUGUAGCUACUCUGAAUCUUCAUAGGUCAUUUUCACUGUAGGUUAUGCUAUAAUGCAAGGAUUCACUCAAUGGAAUCUUGAUUUUGAUGCAAAUGGACAAAGAGGCACAUGCAUCACAGGUAUUUGAUUAAAGGCCACUUUCAUAUGAGUUGUCAUAUGUACUGACGAGGGCAAAAUGGUCCUCCAGCGAAGUUGUUACAACUAGAAGAAUGAAAUUAUGAUACUUAAUUUUGGAAGCCAUAUCAUUUUUUUGUUAUCUGUUGGAUAAUAACAUACUCUUCACAACUUGAAAUUUCUCUAAUCAAGGUACUCGAAGAUAACCAAGACCCAUAUUUCCAUAAGAUUUCAAACCUUGAUGGAGUAAAUAUUGUGUUUUCCUUGAAUUUGUUAGAGGUUGAUACUUUUGUUGGUGUUUUACAUAGGCUUAUUAAUGUGUUUAGUUGACUUUUGAUGGCUUUCAGUUGUGUGUGUGAUGGUACCCUGUUUUUGAUUCUUGAUUAUGACAGUUUGUUUACAGUUUCCUACCAAAUUUGACGCCUACUCAAGCAAAUGAUCCUCCUAUAUAUCAAAGUUUUUUGGUUCGAGGCGCAUUCAGUUUGGCCUAUGGGAGUUGGAAUACUAGCAACUAUUACAUCUUUUAUGUCUAUUAAAAAAAAUCAACAUCCUUGCAAGUAGUGUUGACCCAAAAAGGGUAAAAAGGUUGUUCUAAGUAUUGUGAUAUGUAGUAGCCAUUGUGUUGUCCCUAAUCAAAUGUAACUUAUUUGUAAUAUUAAUAAUGCUACAAUUUAAAUUUAACAUUAUAUAUCGGCAAUUGAUUAAAUAUAUUUGUAUAGUGA